UUUGUCCCUUUCUGAGAUAGAAUCUAAUUCUUGCACUUAUGAAUUUGAGAAUCUUUAAAAAUAUUUUCUCAUUUCAUAAACAUGAUUAGCUCGAGAAUCUAUAUGUUUAGGGGCUACAUGCACCUUGUCAAAUUGUUCCUUUCCAUUCUUGAUUUCCGGAAAGGUCACUGGAAUUCCUGCAAGUGUGGCUCUGCUGUUCUAGAUUGACAUUGUCGACCCUGAAGGAAGCGAUGUUGAUGUUCACAGAGACCUGCAGAGUGACCUCUCCUCCAAAUGCCUCAAAAUAAAUGAUGGCAUGCCUGAGACUACAUUUAGUGCCAUUUGGCUACCAGGCUUUUCUAAAACCUGUAUCUUCUGGUCUCUUCCAACUGGGAUGUUUUCUGUGAUGGGCAAGUACUUGCAUGGCUUCUGCUUUUGACCACUAUUGGAAAACGUUUCUGCAUCUUAUUCUGAUGAAGAAUGACAUAAAUAAGGGAUCUUACUUGUAAAUAUCCACAACAUGUUCUCCUUGGUCCAGAGCUCCAACAGCCAAGCUGCUGCUACUUGGCACCUGCAUGUCCUGGUGUUCUUAAGUGUGUGCUGUUCCACAUCACAGUGAUGGGGUGUGGGACUUUUGAGGGAAGAGACUUGGCCCACGGAGGACUAAAGCGUUGCCACAGAUGAGUUGGUCAUAGACAGUAUCAAAGGGGAGUUUGUUACUCAAGUUUGCAAAGGACAUUAUUAGACAACCCAACAAUCCCACAGCAGCGUGGCCAUGCAGAGACUUCCAUGACUUCAUCUAUCUACUUACGUUGCACCUAUCUACUCAGCAUCUACUAUGUGGGGCUAACUGUGGCACUGAAGAUACGGACAUGAGAAAGAGAGAGUGCCUUUGUUAAGGAGCUCACAUCCCAGUGAGAAAGCAAGGUUAAGAGAAUGAUACAAUUCAAGAUAAGAACAGACACAGAAAUGUGUCACGUGCUAUGGGACUGCAGAGAAAGGAGAGAAUAGAUCUCCCUGCGGGCUGGGAGGAGCAGUGGGGAAAGCUUCACAGAAAAGUACCUUUUCAAUUAGGCUUUAACUUUGGACAGUUGCUUUCAAAGCUGGAGGCAGGAGAAGGGAAGUAGGACAGGCAUGGAGGCACCAGCCACAGAGCACCUCAAGGCAGAGGAGAUUUGGGUGCUGUGCCACCUGGGAGGUGAGGCUGAUAGGACAGCUGUGCAUCAGGCAGGGAAGCUGGAGGGGUAGGUCAGACCAGAAUGACAUGGGUCCUGAAAGCUUUGUUAAUUACGUUACUCUGGAGGCAGUGGGGAGCCACUGAAGGUUUUAAAGCAUGGCCUCCUGUGCCAUGCUAAGAAACAGCUAAUUUUACUGAAGGCAAUGGCAAAGGACAUCAAGCAGGCAAGGAUUGUUCCAAUUUUCCCUUUGAUGAGCCCACUAGCACUAUGAGGCAGUAAUAAGGCUGCUGCCAUAGUUCACGUGAAGGAAGAAGAUGCUCUACCAGUGCAAAUGGAGUAGAGGUGAAAACAUAGAUUCAAGGUACAUUUCAGAGGGAGAGAAAGCAAGAUACUAUUCCUUCUUGUGUGUUGGGCGAUGGGGGGAAGGCAGAAGACAUGCAAGCCUGGAUGUUUCAAACCUAGUGAGUGGGCUAGAGCUGCUUCCAUUUAUGUUCCUAAGCACUGCUUUGGCAUUUAUACUGGAAUCCUAAGGGUCAAUAAGAUAUUUUUCCUUUUGUAGGGGUCAGAUUAGCUGCCAAAGCACUGGAGGAGUUG
RNAcentral lists this long non-coding RNA (1751 nucleotides) under Homo sapiens (human). Its description in RNAcentral is "HSALNT0364239". The record is from RNAcentral. Lineage: Eukaryota; Metazoa; Chordata; Mammalia; Primates; Hominidae.